Molecule: non-coding RNA, 68 nt
Organism: Rattus norvegicus (Norway rat)
Lineage: Eukaryota; Metazoa; Chordata; Mammalia; Rodentia; Muridae
Source: Rfam
GAGGAUUUAGCUCAGUGGUAGAGCGCUUGCCUAGCAAGCACAAGGCCCUGGGUUCGGUCCCCAGCUCC